AUGUUGGUGAAUGACUCCACCAGCCGCCACCCAAAAGAAACCCUACAGAUGGAUCCUGACAUGGGAGAUGUCACAGAGGAAGAGGGGGAGGCUGUGGAGGUUAGGACAGCAGCAACAGCACAGAGGAGGAGGAGGAGGAGGAGGAGGAGGAGGCGCAGGCAGAGGACACUAGAGGCGGCCCAGGAUGAGCAGCAAGAGGAGUUCAACCGCCGACUCUCCGACAAGGUACUGGAGAAGUGCAAUGAUGAAGAACUAGAGCUGGUUUUCACUGGUGGCAGGGGAAGGUCAUUCAUGAAGAUCAUUAGGUGGGCAAGGAUGAGGGCAGUCAUGGCUCCUCAUCCAGCAACUAGGGCCAAGUGGGUCCAUUUCUUCGAGUGCUAUGACUGA
Molecule: ribosomal RNA, 387 nt
Filed under: Triticum aestivum (bread wheat)
Lineage: Eukaryota; Viridiplantae; Streptophyta; Magnoliopsida; Poales; Poaceae
Description: partial small subunit ribosomal RNA
Source: RNAcentral